AUUAAACAGUAACCUCAUCAGGUUUUAUGUGUAAUUAAACAGUAACCUCAUCAGGUUUUAUGUGUAAUUAAACAGUAACCUCAUCAGGUUUUAUGUGUAAUUAACAGUAACCUCAUCAGGUUUUAUGUGUAAUUAAGCAGUAACCUCAUCAGGGUUUAUGUGUAAUUAAACAGUAACCUCAUCAGGUUUUAUGUGUAAUUAAACAGUAACCUCAUCAGGUUUUAUGUGUAAUUAAACAGUAACCUCAUCAGGGUUUAUGUGUAAUUAAACAGUAACCUCAUCAGGUUUUAUGUGUAAUUAAACAGUAACCUCAUCAGGUUUUAUGUGUAAUUAACAGUAACCUCAUCAGGUUUUAUGUGUAAUUAAGCAGUAACCUCAUCAGGGUUUAUGUGUAAUUAACAGUAACCUCAUCAGGUUUUAUGUGUAAUUAAACAGUAACCUCAUCAGGGUUUAUGUGUAAUUAAACAGUAACCUCGUCAGGUUUUAUGUGUAAUUAGCUGUCUGGGUUUAGAAAGGUAGAAAGUAGAAAGAUGUGCUUUAUUUAGAAACUGCUGUUUUAAAAAGUGCCAGUGAUGCUUACCUGUGAAUUCAGGUGUGUUAGUAUUGCUGUUUCAGGUGUGUUAGUAUUGCUGUUUCAGCUGUGUGUCAUUCAGGUAUGUUAGUAUUGCUGUUUCAGGUGUGUUAGUAUUGCUGUUUCAGGUGUGUUAGUAUUGCUGUUUCAGGUGUGUUAGUAUUGCUGUUUCAGGUGUGUUAGUAUUGCUGUUUCAGGUGUGUUAGUAUUGCUGUUUCAGGUGUGUUAGUAUUGCUGUUUCAGGUGUGUUAGUAUUGCUGUUUCAGGUGUGUUAGUAUUGCUGUUUCAGGUGUGUUAGUAUGGCUGCAUUCAGGUGUGUCAUUCAGGUGUGUUAGUAUGGCUGCAUUCAGGUGUGUCAUUCAGGUGUGUUAGUAUGGCUGCAUUCAGGUGUGUCAUUCAGGUGUGUUAGUAUGGCUGCAUUCAGGUGUGUCAUUCAGGUGUGUUAGUAUGGCUGCAUUCAGGUGUGUCAUUCAGGUGUGUUAGUAUGGCUGCAUUCAGGUGUGUCAUUCAGGUGUGUUAGUAUGUCAGCAUUCAGGUGUGAGUCAUUCAGGUGUUCUACAAUGUCUGCAUUCAGGUGUGUGUCAUUGAGGUGUUCUAGAAUGUCUGCAUUCAGGUGUGUGUCAUUCAGGUGUUCUAGAAUGUCUGCAUUCAGGUGUGUCAUUCAGGUGUUCUAGAAUGUCUGCAUUCAGGUGUGUGUCAUUCAGGUGUUCUAGAAUGUCUGCAUUCAGGUGUGUGUCAUUCAGGUGUUCUAGAAUGUCUGCAUUCAGGUGUGUGUCAUUCAGGUGUUCUAGAAUGUCUGCAUUCAGGUGUGUGUCAUUCAGGUGUUCUAGAAUGUCUGCAUGGGCGAGGUGCAGAGCAGUGAGAUUAAUGACCUGAGAGGCGUUCUAAUCAUCGUUCCAUUCUGGGAAGGUGAGCCAGCGCCCCGGGGGGGAGAGAAUAUGGGUUGAACUUCACUCCAGUUAUAUUUACUAAAAUAACAUCUAACUGAUCAACUGGCAGCUUGUCUCUCCCAUUCACGACAAUAGGCAGAGAUUAACGUUAGUGUUUCUGCACGGCACAGAGCAGACUGAAAACUAUAUUUGUGCAGUGUGGACAAAGUCAUAGGGAAUAAGGCCGGGAUCCAAUCCAUUCGUGCUAAAUUAGCUAUGCACCUUUUAAAGGCAAUGUUUCCGUGUUUUCGGCUCAAUAGGAAAUUACCUUUAAAUGGUGCAUAGCCCUUAACAUGGUGCAUAGCCCUUUACAUGGUGCAUAGCCCUUUACAUGGUGCAUAGCCCUUUACAUGGUGCAUAGCCCUUAACAUGGUGCAUAGCCCUUAACAUGGUGCAUAGCCCUUAACAUGGUGCAUAGCCCUUAACAUGGUGCAUAGCCCUUAACAUGGUGCAUAGCCCUUUACAUGGUGCAUAGCCCUUUACAUGGUGCAUAGCCCUUUACAUGGUGCAUAGCCCUUUACAUGGUGCAUAGCCCUUUACAUGGUGCAUAGCCCUUUACAUGGUGCAUAGCCCUUAACAUGGUGCAUAGCCCUUUACAUGGUGCAUAGCCCUUUACAUGGUGCAUAGCCCUUUACAUGGUGCAUAGCCCUUUAACAUGGUGCAUAGCCCUUAACAUGGUGCAUAGCCCUUAACAUGGUGCAUAGCCCUUAACAUGGUGCAUAGCCCUUUACAUGGUGCAUAGCCCUUUACAUGGUGCAUAGCCCUUUACAUGGUGCAUAGCCCUUAACAUGGUGCAUAGCCCUUAACAUGGUGCAUAGCCCUUAACAUGGUGCAUAGCC
Molecule: long non-coding RNA, 2339 nt
Organism: Oncorhynchus keta (chum salmon)
Lineage: Eukaryota; Metazoa; Chordata; Actinopteri; Salmoniformes; Salmonidae
Exons: 8
Source: RefSeq, a predicted model, not a curated record